CGUGAAUGAAUGCUGCCUUGCCAUUGUGGGAAACAACAGACUGUCAAUGAGGCUCCUGAAGGCCUUCGAGCUCUUUCUUGCCCUGGAGACUCAAUGAUUUUAUGUCUGAAGGUUCAUAAGUCACAAGAUAUCUGGAAUUAGGUGGUGAAUAAAAGUUCUGUCCAGCCAGUUCUUCUUCCAGCUAAUGACAAAACCACCUUGGAAGGUAUGAAA
Long non-coding RNA from Neogale vison (American mink), 213 nucleotides. RefSeq lists it as uncharacterized. Lineage: Eukaryota; Metazoa; Chordata; Mammalia; Carnivora; Mustelidae. The transcript is spliced from 3 exons. The record is from RefSeq and is a predicted model, not a curated record.